Lagopus leucura (white-tailed ptarmigan) is the source of this 2110-nucleotide RNA transcript. It is a transcript of the gene named cerebellin 4 precursor, with no coding region annotated. The transcript has 5 exons. Lineage: Eukaryota; Metazoa; Chordata; Aves; Galliformes; Phasianidae. The record is from RefSeq and is a predicted model, not a curated record.
AUGGGCUGGCGGUUGCUGCCCGCCGUGCUCCUGGCCCUGGCGCUGGGCGGCCCCGCGGCGCGGGCGCAGAACGAGACGGAGCCCAUCGUCCUGGAGGGCAAGUGCCUGGUGGUGUGCGAUUCCAACCCGACCACCGACGCCAAGGGCUCGUCCUCCUCUCCGCUGGGCAUCUCGGUGAGGGCGGCCAACUCGAAGGUCGCCUUCUCGGCGGUCAGGAGCACCAACCACGAGCCCUCCGAGAUGAGCAACAAGACGCGCAUCAUCUACUUCGACCAGAUCCUAGUAAACGUGGGCAAUUUUUUCACAUUGGAAUCUGUCUUUGUGUCACCAAGAAAAGGAAUUUACAGCUUCAGUUUUCACGUGAUUAAAGUCUACCAGAGCCAAACAAUCCAGGUUAACUUGAUGCUCAAUGGGAAGCCAGUCAUCUCUGCUUUUGCUGGGGACAAGGAUGUCACUCGCGAAGCUGCCACUAAUGGAGUCCUGCUCUACCUGGACAAAGAGGAUAAGGUUUACCUGAAGUUGGAGAAAGGUAAUCUGGUUGGUGGAUGGCAGUAUUCUACGUUUUCUGGCUUUCUGGUCUUUCCACUGUAAAGUCAAUUUUCCUGUGACGUUUGUCCGGUUGUGGAGUCGUCAUUGCCCCUGUCACAUGAAGAUCAUUCUGUCAUCGUGGGAUUGAUGUUUCCUUAUUGGUUUUUCAUGGGUGAAUAAGGAUUCUCUUUAUGGAUUUUGGCCUCAUCUGAACUACACAGAAGUUUCACAGAAUUCUGUGUGUUUGAAUACAAUAUGUUUGGAUUGAGACUAAAGCAGACGAUAAAUACCUAUGCUUAAUGUUACGGUCUAAAGCUGCCUGCACAUUUUAUUCAGAUUUCGUUUACUGGACUUAUGGAUUCAUGAGAGAAGUGGAUUUUCUUUAAUUGUGAAAUGACUGGAAACCAGGUCCAUAAUUUAGCAGAAUUUGAGUUCAUUCUUCAAUCAAGAGUUAGUGUGUUGCUACCAAAGAACUGUAUAUUGAUAUAUUGGUCAUACAUGUUUCUGUCACUGGGACUUAGCUAACAUGACUCAUUCCAUUGUCUUGAGAAAGGUAAUUAUUUAUGCUAAGUGACUGACUUUAAUUCUCCUCUGCUGUAGUGUCUUGGAUGGUUCACCCAUACAUUUAUGCUCUGUCACUGGCUAUGAUUGCAUCUUGCCUGCAGAAAGCUAAGAAGGAUAUAAUUAUUAUAUGCAAGAUAUGAGCUUUUGGGAUUCACAGAGAGUGCCCUGGGAGGCAGGCGAGCUGUCCUGGUUCAGUCUGAUGGAAUCCUAGAGGCAUUGUUAACCAGCUGACACAAAGUGCGUACAAGAAGAUCCCCAGUGACAGAAUGCAGUGGUUGGCACAUGCCACAACAUCGUAUUUUUUGUGCUAUUGUUGUGCAGAUGGAAAUGGCUCCUUUGAGGAAAGACAUUGUCUUGGAUGCUGAGCUGAAGUUAUUUAUCUGUUGCUGUUUGCCAAUGAGGGGAAACCUUUCCUACCCAAGAGCACUAAGGGAAAUGUGCGAAGAACAAUGGUAAAAUCAGUCCCCAUUAUAUAAGAGAUGAUGAGGAUGAUGGAAAUGUGGCUUGAACAGUCUGCUUGUUCUGCUGUGAUCUAAGGUGUCUGAUGGAAUCAGUUGCUGUUUUAAUCUUUGCAGUUUGGGGAAGGGAAAAUGCCACUUCCCUCAUUUUUAAUAGGUUAUUUCCUUGACCCCCCAAACCCCUUUUUUUCCUUAUAUCUUCUGGUUCAGACUAGCUGCGAAAAAAUAUGGAAUUGGAAAUGAUUUAAGAAAAGUUCAUUUCUGAAGGGGGAAUGUGGUUUGGUUUUGUCCUUAUUUCCUGCGAUGUAUGAUGUGGGGAACAAAUAACCACAAGGGGGGUGGAAAUGUGACAAAGCUGGUUUCUAUGUAACCUGAGUUAACCCAAACACAUUCUUGAGCUGCUGUGCAGUUUGGUGCACCUACAUGUGAUACUUGGUGCACCUGCUCUUACAUGUGAUACUUUUUUACCAUGCAUGGUACCGACCUGUCCUGUUGAGGCUACAGUAUUGUAAUCUGAUGGCCUUCAUCCUGCUGGAGGAAUCUAGAUGUAGCAGCAUAGA